UGAGCUGUGGCACAGUGGGUUAAUGCCCUGGCCUGAAGUGCCAGCAUCCCAUAUGGGUGCUGGUUCGAGUCCUGGCUGCUCCU
This is a non-coding RNA of Oryctolagus cuniculus (rabbit), 83 nucleotides long. The record is from Rfam. NCBI's taxonomy places the organism in Eukaryota, Metazoa, Chordata, Mammalia, Lagomorpha, Leporidae.